UGCCAGCCGCCGCGGUAAUACGGAGGGUCCAAGCGUUAUCCGGAUUUAUUGGGUUUAAAGGGUGCGCAGGCGGAACUUUAAGUCAGUGGUGAAAUCUUGCCGCUUAACUGUAGAACUGCCUUUGAUACUGCAAAUCUUGAGUUCGGAAGGGAGAGGCGGAAUUCCAGGUGUAGUGGUGAAAUACGUAGAUAUCUGGAAGAACACCAGAGGCGAAGGCGGUCUCUUGGUCCGAAACUGACGCUGAGGCGCGAAAGCGUGGGGAGCAAACAGGAUUAGAUA
This 279-nucleotide ribosomal RNA is filed under the name uncultured bacterium. RNAcentral describes it as "partial 16S ribosomal RNA". It matches the Rfam family "Bacterial small subunit ribosomal RNA", at positions 506 to 784 of the family's 1533-position model. The record is from RNAcentral.